This is an RNA transcript of Macadamia integrifolia, 4049 nucleotides long. It is a transcript of the gene named putative disease resistance RPP13-like protein 1, with no coding region annotated. The transcript has 3 exons. The record is from RefSeq and is a predicted model, not a curated record. NCBI's taxonomy places the organism in Eukaryota, Viridiplantae, Streptophyta, Magnoliopsida, Proteales, Proteaceae.
UUUACUUAUAUUCUUCAUGUACCCAAAUUGUUCGUCCUGCUGAUGUUAAGGAUUUGAUAAAUGGAAUCAUGGAUGAACUGGUUCUCAAUGAAAAGAAGCUGGAACUAUACUACUUGAAUGCAUUACGUGAAACUAAAUUGCAUCAAAUGACAAGAAAGCCUCAAACUAAUCUAUUAAGGCAAAUCAGUAGCUCUUUGGUUGACGAAUCCUCUGUACUGGGUCGGGCAGAUGAUCUAGGUUGUAUAAAAGAUUUUCUGUUGUCGGGUCAAUAUGAUCAAAGAGAGGUUCCUGUUACUUGCAUUGUUGGCAUGGCAGGAAUGGGUAAGACCACACUUGCCCAGCUUGCUUACAAUGAUCCACAACUUAAAGAACAUUUCGAUGUUAAAUUAUGGGUCUGUGUUCCUGAAGAUUUUGAUGUUGGUAGGUUAACUAGUGCAAUUCUAGAAAUACAGACGAGGAAAGCAUGUGAUCUCAAUGAAUUGGAGUCACUCCAAUGUGAACUUCAAGAUAGACUAGAUGGGAAAAGAUUUUUACUCGUUUUGGAUGAUGUUUGGAGUGUGAACCGCAGCAAAUGGGAAUCCUUACGAGUUCCAUUUAGAGUCUCAAAGAUGGGAAGCAGAAUUUUGGUAACCAGUCGGAGCCAAAGGGUUUCAACCAUCAUGGGGGCUGCCAAAACUCUUACCUUGCAAAGUUUAUCAGAUGAAGAUUGCUGGUUGUUAUUCAAGAAAUGGGCAUUUAGUGAUGAAAACUGCAACACACAUCUAAACUUGAUAGAAAUUGGUGAGAAAAUUAUUAAGAAAUGUAAUGGGUUGCCUUUGGCAUUGAAGUCAUUAGGAGGCCUUUUGCGUGACAAGAUCGAUGAAAAGGAGUGGGAGUUCAUCCUUAAAAGUGACUUAUGGGACUUGGAAGGAGAUGAUAUUUUGCCAGCUCUAAGAUUGAGUUAUCAUAACCUCCCAGCACAUUUGAAACUAUGCUUUGUAUAUUGCUCUUUGUUUCCAAAAGGCUAUUCGUUUAGAAAGGAUGAAUUAGUUCUACUUUGGAUGGCAGAAGGAUUUGUUCCAUCUAAACAAGUAGAAAGAAUGGAAGGCAUAGGCAACCAGUACUUCGAUGAUUUGUUACAAAGAUCUUUCUUUCAAAAGGAAAAUACUCCUCAAUCGGUCCGAGAGACAUUUGUGAUGCAUGACCUCAUGCAUGAUUUAGCACAAUCAGUUUCAAGGGAGGUGUUCUGUAGAAUAGAGAGUGAUAAAUCAUGUGAAAUUAUGGAAAUGGCUCGCCACAUGUCGUUACUUAUUGAUGAUUUGGAUUCAACUAGUGAAGAGAUCUAUGGAUGUAAGAGGUUAUGCACAUUUUUACUAAAAAUUCUGAACCCUUCUGUUGAGUGUAUUCGUGGACAGAUCCCCUUUGAUUUAUUUGAACACUUUAGAUUCUUGCGUGUGCUGGAUUUGAGUUUUUGUAAUACCCUGAAGCUACCUGAAUCUAUAGGCAUGCUGAAGCAUUUGCGAUAUCUUGAUCUCAGUUGCACUUAUAUUAAGGAGUUACCUGAUUCAGUGUGUAACCUUUUCAAUUUGCAAACAUUGAUUCUUAACAAUUGCAGAUUUCUUCUUCGGUUGCCAAAGAACUUGGGAAACCUAAUCAGCCUCCAGCACAUCUUGAUGAACGUUGAAACGAAUGUGAUUGACAUUCCAGUCGGUAUUGGAAGACUAUGUUCACUUAAAACAUUGCCGCGUUUAUGGGUGGGUCAGAAGGAUGGUUUUAAGAUCGGUGAGCUUAAGGAGUUACGGAACCUUCAAGGAAGGCUUCAUAUUUUGGGACUGGAGAAUGUACCCAAUGUUUUUGAGGCCACGAAAGCCAAUAUGAAGAAUAAGGAGAAGCUUGACGAAAUAUACUUGCAAUGGGGUGAGGGAACUAGAGAUUUGAGAAAUGAGAGAGAUGUUGUAAUUCUUGAAGGCCUAGAACCUCAUACAGCACUAAAGCAUCUUCAGAUCGAAGGUUAUGAUGAUUUGAUAUUUCCGAAUUGGAUGAUGGAAAUGGGUGUUUACAAUAAGCUUGUUGCACUGUCUCUAUCUUCUUGUAAGAUAUGCAAGGUCCUUCCAACUCUUUGGCAACUCCCAUCACUAGAAUCCCUUCGUAUCAGUAGAAUGAAUGAAUUGAGUUGUCUAAGUCAUGAGUUCUAUGGAGACGACGUGAAAGAUGGUGGUAAGAAGGGAUUUCAAAAGUUGAAGCACCUAGAGUUGAAAAACAUGAGUAAUUUAGGAGAAUGGUGUGGAUCACUUGAAGGUGAAUUCCCUUGCCUUGAAAAACUUGUGAUUAAAGAAUGUCCAAAAAUAAGGAAACUGCCCCCAUUCCUUCCUACUCUCAAAGAGUUAGAAAUAAAGCACUGUGAUGCUUUAACUUCUCUUCCGAGGCUUCCAUUUAUCCAAGACCUAAUAUUAGCAAAUUGUGAUGAGAGGAUAUUGAAUUGUUUGCAACACUGCAGCUCCCUGACUUCUUUGCUUAUUUCUGAGUUUCAAAAUGCAAUUAAUUUGCCUCAAGCAAUGUUCCAUCCUCUAGCAUCGACACUUCAGAGGCUUGAGAUUGAUAAUUUUUCUAAGCUCUUGACAUUGGAAGAUGCUGGGUUAGAAGAACUGGUAUCUGUCCGGGAUUUAAUAAUCAGUGGAUGUAAUGGUCUCACAUCCUUGCCGAAGGGACUGCACAGGCUCAUCUCUCUUGAACGGCUAAGAAUUAGUUGUUGUAAUAGUCUCACAUCCUUGGCCAUUAAAAGCUUAACGAUACAUCUAUGUGAGAACUUCAGGUUCCUUCCCAGGGGACUGAAAGACCUAUACAACCUCCAAGAAUUAGCAAUCGAUGAUUGUGGGAAUAUCAAGUUCUUGCCAGACAUGGGGCUUCCCACCAGCCUUCGUCGUUUAACGAUUACUAGAUGCCCUGAUCUGAGUAUUCGGUGCCAAAAAGGUCGGGAAGACUGGCCUAAAAUAGCUCACGUACUUGACGUAAACAUCCAGCAUUAAUAAUCAGCAUAAAACAGAAAUCGAGAACAACUGAUGGAGUAUGUCCUGCUUUGAUGGUGAUUCCAUGGAUGGGGCUGGUUUGUUGUUCAAUAGUAGGUUCAAGGAAACUUCUGUUAUCAUGUCAAGCUUAGAAGCAAGGCUGGGGGCAGGUGGCAUAAAGGAGUCUUUCUAGUGAACCUGAGGUUGAUGGGUUUGGAUGCACUUUGAGCCUCUCUCCAUGGUUGAACUGAGUUUCUAUGGGUGGCGUUGAUCACAAAUAAGCAUCUUAGCCAAGAGACACUUCCCAAGGACCUUUCCCAAGGACCUUCUAGAAUGAUGAUGGAAGCUUUCCUGGCAGGGCUUAGGGUGUGGAUGUCCAGCCCACCAAUGUAUCGGUGGCAUGGGAGAAGGCAGCUGGGUUCCUGCCCAUGGUCUUGCUGGAAUCCUUCAAAUUCUACUCCACUUCCAAUUCUCUAGGGAAGAUUAUGAGGAUGUCAGGGCGCCUGUUAGGCAUAGGAUGAGGAACAGGUUCCCACACAGCGGCAAUUACCGAUUGAGUGAAGGGAAUCCAAGGGACAAAUUGAUGCAAUGGUCACAUGGUGCCAUUUGCACAGCCAUCAAUCUAUGCAAAGCAGCAUGGGUUAGCACCUCAAACAGUGCAAUUUAUAUCUGUAAAAUAAAUUAGGUGAAGAAACUAGGUGAUAUAGAUAGAGAAACCAUUUUGAUUGGCAGCAAUUUAAGAGUCAUAUUGCAGGAGCCCUGGUGUUGUGUUUGCAUAAUUUCUUAUCCUGUAGGUGUUAACUAUGGACAAUAUUGCUCAAGUGUCAUAAAGCAUCAAGUGAGUGUCUGUCAUAGGAUCAUAUAAUAUGUUAAAUUAACUAAAAGAGGUCAUUAACAAUGAACCUUUUUAUUUAGCUUUAUGCAGUGAAAGCAUAUCUAAGGAGUGGUAAGGUUAUAUAAACUGCUACAAUUUGAACAGGUCAGCCAGGGGGGACCGUUCAUCGACUCCAACCUGGGAGAUCUCAUGCACUAAGACAAAUUGCACUUUGAAUUGAUCUCUGUGAA